GAGAGGGAGAGAGACAGAGGGAGAGAGAGAGAGAGAGAGAGAGAGAGAGAAGGAGAUAGAAGGAGAGAGAGAGAGAGAGAGAGAAGGAGAGAGAAGGAGAGAGAGAGAGAGGGAGAGAGAGACAGAGAAGAAGAAGAAGGAGAGAGAAGGAGAAAGAAGGAGAGAGAGAGAAAUAUGGCUGUUUUUCCUGUUUAACAAUCCCUACUCUAAACAAUUCCAGGAGGAAAGUGUGAGUCUCCAAGGUGGAUUUUGGACACAGAUUUAUGCCCCUAUCCCAGCCAGGGACAAUCACCCAACCAUCAUAUUCACUAAUAUGCUGCACCAAGGCAGAGAGAAAUUUGCAUUAUAAUUGUAAAGCCAAAUUCAAACCACUCAUACAUGUUCCAUACAUAACUACAAUUACAAGAGUAUGUGUACAACUGGGGCAGAAUAUUUAAGUGUGAUCUGUAUGCUGAUUGGAAUACAUGCUAUUGUCUUAGAGGACAAUAAUAUACACAGAUGUUUGAUUUUAUGGUUACUGCAUAUAGUAUGUCCCCAACAGUACAUGUGGAGGAAGCAUAUCUGAACUACAGGUAUUGGGAGGAAGACAAAAUCCUCAACAGCUUCUUUGACCAAAAUGGAAACAUAUUGUUAAGAUGGUCUGUAAUAAGGAGAGCAAAUCUGUAUGGCAACACAUCCUGUCUGGACUUUACCCGGGCAGUGGCACACUAUCUCUGUGACAUGUGUUAUGUAGUUUGGGGUAUAGGAGAAAUCAAUUAGAAACUCAAUGCAUACAUACAAGUGUUGUUGAAUAUGAAAUAUAUACAGUUGAAGUAGGGAAGUUUACAUACACUUAGGUUGGAGUCAUUAAAACUUGUUUUUCAACCACUCCACACAUUUCUUGUUAACAAACUAUAGUUUUGGCAAGUUGGUUAGGACAUCUACUUUGUGCAUGAAACAAGUAAUUUUUUCAACAAAUGUUUACAGAAAGAUUAUUUCACUUAUAAUUCACUGUAUCACAAUUCCAGUGGGUCAGAAGUUUACAUACAAUAAGUUGACUGUGCCUUUAAACAGCUUGGAAAAUUCCCAAAAAUUAUGUCAUGGCUUUAGAAGCUUCUGAUAGGCUAAUUGACAUAAUUUGAGUCAAUUGGAGGUGUACCUGUGGAUGUAUUUCAAGACCUACCUUCAAACUCAGUGCCUCUGCUUGACGUCAUGGGAAAAUCAAAAGAAAUCAGCCAAGAACCCAGAAAAAAAUUGAAGACGUCCACAAGUCUGGUUCAUCCUUGGGAGCAAUUUCCAAACGCCUGAAGGUACCACGUUCAUCUGUACAAACAAUAGUACGCAAGUAUAAACACCAUGGGACCACGCAGCCUUCAUACCGCUCAGGAAGGAGACGCGUUCUGUCUUCUAGAGAUGAACGUACUUUGGUGCGAAAAGUUCAAAUCAAUCCCAGAACAACAGCAAAGGACCUUGUGAAGAUGCUGGAGGAAUAGAUGGAAUUAGAUGGUAUCAUGAGGCAGGAAAAUGAUGUGGAUAUAUUGAAGCAACAUCUCAAGACAUCAGUCAGGAAGUUAAAGCUUGGUCACAAAUGGGGCUUCCAAAUGGACAAUGACCCCAAGCAUACUUCCAAAGUUGUGGCAAAGUGGCGUAAGGACAGACAAAGUCAAGGUAUUGGAGUGGCCAUCACAAAGCCCUGACCUCAAUACCAUAGAAAGUUUGUGGGCAGAACUUAAAAAGCGUGUGUGAGCAAGGAGGCCUACAAACCUGAUUCAGUUACACCAGCUCUGUCAGGAGGAAUGGGCCAAAAUUCACCCAACUUAUUGUGGGAAGCUUGUGGAAGUUAAACAAUUUAAAGGCAAUGCUAUCAAAUACUAAUGGAGUAUGUAAACUUCUGACCCACUGGGAAUGUGAUGAAAGAAAUAAAAGCUGAAAUAAAUCAUUCUCUCUAUGAUUAUUCUAACAUUUCACAUUCUUAAAAUAAAGUGGUGAUCCUAACGGACCUAAAACAAGGAUUAUUUUACUGGAAUUAAAUGUCAGGAAUUGUGAAAAACUGAGUUUAAAUGUAUUUGGCUAAGGUGUAUGUAAACUUCUGACUUCAACUGUAAUUACAUAAAGAUAAAGGUAGGGUUGAAGCCGCCCUUUGUAAAACAUGUUUCUCAAGAAAUAAAUCACAUCAUCACAUAAAAGCAGGUCUGGUUGAGCAAGCAAAAAUUAAUAGCAUCUGGGGAUGUUACAGCAGUAUGAUGGUAUAGGAGUAGGAUGUUAUAGGGCCAGGUGUUGUAGGAGUAGGAUGUUAUAGGAGUAGGGUAUUAUAGGAGUAGGAUGUUAUAGGGCCAGGUGUUAUAGGAGUAGGAUGUUAUAGGGCCAGGUGUUAUAGGGCCAGGUAUUAUAGGGCCAGGUGUUAUAGGAGUAGGGUGUUAUAGGAGUAGGGUGUUAUAGGGCCAGGUGUUAUAGGGCCAGGUGUUAUAGGAUUAGGAUGUUAUAGGGCCAGGUGUUAUAGGAGUAGGGUGUUAUAGGGCCAGGUGUUAUAUGGCCAGGUGUUAUAGGAGUAGGAUGUUAUAGGGGUAGGUGUUAUAGGAGUAGGGUGUUAUAGGGCCAGGUGUUAUAGGAGUAGAUGUUAUAGGAGUAGAUGUUAUAGGGGUAGGGUGUUAUAGGGCCAGGUAUUAUAGGAGUAGGGUGUUAUAGGAGUAGGUGUUAUAGGAGUAGGUGUUAUAGGGCCAGGUGUUAUAGGGCCAGGUGUUAUAGGGCCAGGUAUUAUAGGAGUAGAUGUUAUAGGAGUAGGUGUUAUAGGAGUAGGGUGUUAUAGGGCCAGGUAUUAUAGGAGUAGAUGUUAUAGGAGUAGGUGUUAUAGGAGUAGGGUGUUAUAGGAGUAGGGUGUUAUAGGGCCAGGUAUUAUAGGAGUAGAUGUUAUAGGAGUAGGUGUUAUAGGAGUAGGUGUUAUAGGAGUAGGGUGUUAUAGGAGUAGGGUGUUCUAGGGCCAGGUGUUAUAGGAGUAGGUGUUAUAGGAGUAGGUGUUAUAGGAGUAGGGUGUUAUAGGAGUAGGGUGUUCUAGGGCCAGGUGUUAUAGGAGUAGGUGUUAUAGGAGUAGGGUGUUAUAGGAGUAGGGUGUUAUAGGAGUAGGGUGUUAUAGGAGUAGGGUGUUAUAGGGCCAGGUAUUAUAGGAGUAGGGUGUUCUAGGGCCAGGUGUUAUAGGAGUAGAUGUUAUAGGAGUAGGUGUUAUAGGAGUAGGGUGUUAUAGGAGUAGGGUGUUAUAGGAGCAGGGUGUUAUAGGAGUAGGGUGUUCUAGGGCCAGGUAUUAUAGGAGUAGGGUGUUCUAGGGCCAGGUGUUAUAGGAGUAGGGUGUUAUAGGAGUAGGGUGUUAUAGGGCCAGGUAUUAUAGGAGUAGGGUGUUCUAGGGCCAGGUGUUAUAGGAGUAGAUGUUAUAGGAGUAGGGUGAUAUAGGAGUAGGGUGUUAUAGGAGUAGGGUGUUAUAGGAGUAGGGUGUUAUAGGAGUAGGUGUUAUAGGAGUAGGGUGUUAUAGGAGUAGGGUGUUAUAGGAGUAGGGUGUUAUAGGAGUAGGGUGUUAUAGGAGUAGGUGUUAUAGGAGUAGGUGUUAUAGGAGUAGGGUGUUAUAGGAGUAGGUGUUAUAGGAGUAGGGUGUUAUAGGAGUAGGGUGUUAUAGGAGUAGGUGUUAUAGGAGUAGGGUGUUAUAGGGCCACGUGUUAUAGGAAUACAUUUUACAGCAUUAGAUAUACAUUUAUGGACUGAGUUCAAAAAUUAUUUUUUAAAUCUUUGGACAUUUUUUAGGAGCUGAAUGAAAGUACAUGAUGGAGAUGUAUUCGAACAUGUGUCUGUGUAUCGAUCUGACAUAUAAUUCAGAUAUAUCGGAUAUAUCGAUAUAAUUCAGUCUAUUUGUCAUCACCAUCUUUUGUAUUGUAGUAUUUGGUGUAAUUUCCCUCCUAUGUCCCUUUAGUUUUGUAUGCUGGAGAUGUGAAAGGAAUGUGUUAAGUAUUUUUUUUUUUUGCGGGCAUAUGGCACAACUAUUACAGUCUAGUUAGAGUUUGUGCACAUAAGAUUCAGAGACACUUAUAAACAGGGUCUAUAUGAAUCAACAACAUGGUGUCACGUCACGAUAGAAAGACACACACAUAGUAUAAACACACAGUACAAGUAGUAGUACACAGACAUCAUUUCAAUGGCUUCAUCAUAUUUCUCCUUGUCUUUUCUUUGCGUAUACACUUGUAUACAUGUUAGGAUACAGUUGGUGAGAAGGGUUUAGACACAUAGGUAGACACAUAGGUAGACACAUAGGUAGACACAUAGGUAGACACAUAGAUAGAUCGCUUAACAAAAUUAUGUUUUUUUCUUUUCAGAAAACAAACGUUAUCAUUUUUUUUGCAGUUGAAACAAUAUGGCUUUAACUAGUGAAAACCCUAUCAGACUUUUUUUUUUUUUUUAAGUUAAGAAUAAUUUACUCAUAACUUAUGAUUAUUGAAAUGUUUUUGUUCAUUUUUUGGAAUAUAUCAAUCUUCAAUGUCAUGUAGCCAUGUACGUUAUUAGAAAGAUAUGAGAAUUUCUUACAAUAAAACUUCACAGGAUUUGGUCUUUGGAAAGUGAAAAUGUAUGUUGCCAGCCUAUUUCUACUGCUAUCAACAAGACCAAAUCUGGACCACUUCCUUAGUUCUGGACCACUUCCUUACUUCUGGACCACUUCCUUACUUCUGGACCACUUCCUUACUUCUGGACCACUCCCUUACUUCUGGACCACUCCCUUACUUCUGGACCACUCCCUUACUUCUGGACCACUUCCUUACUUCUGGACCACUUCCUUACUUCUGGACCACUUCCUUACUUCUGGACCACUUCCUUACUUCUGGACCACUUCCUUAGUUCUGGACAGUUUCCUUAUUUACUAGUGACAAAAGAAAUUAUCGUUUUUUUCCCCCAGUAUCUUUGGAUUUGAUAUUAAUGAAUUCAAACAGUAAUUAGUUAAGCAUGUACUUUGUGUAAAACAGACAUGUGGUAUGGGAGGUGAGUAGUGAAAUAAUGACAUAGGCAGUAUUGGCUUCCUUCAAUGUAAUGCAGUUCUGAUUAUUUCCUUGUCUUUGGCAUUAACCACCAACUGCUAAAUAUGAUGUUGACUAAAUAAUUUUUAUAGAACUGUGCUUGUUUUUCUUCUUCUCUACACUGAAUAUGAAUCGUGUGUAUUCUAUGGAUAAUCUGAGUGUAUAAUGUUGAAUAUGAAUCGUGUGUACAGUAUUCUAUGGAUAAUCUGAGUGUAUAAUGUUGAAUAUGAAUCGUGUGUAUUCUAUGGAUAAUCUGAGUGUAUAAUGUUGAAUAUGAAUCGUGUGUACAGUAUUCUAUGGAUAAUCUGAGUGUAUAAUGUUGAAUAUGAAUCGUGUGUACAGUAUUCUAUGGAUAAUCUGAGUGUAUAAUGUUGAAUAUGAAUCGUGUGUACAGUAUUCUAUGGAUAAUCUGAGUGUAUAAUGUUGAAUAUGAAUCGUGUGUAUUCUAUGGAUAAUCUGAGUGUAUAAUGUUGAAUAUGAAUCGUGUGUACAGUAUUCUAUGGAUAAUCUGAGUGUAUAAUGUUGAAUAUGAAUC
This is a long non-coding RNA of Oncorhynchus tshawytscha (Chinook salmon), 5559 nucleotides long. The record is from Ensembl. NCBI's taxonomy places the organism in Eukaryota, Metazoa, Chordata, Actinopteri, Salmoniformes, Salmonidae.